RNAcentral lists this ribosomal RNA (165 nucleotides) under uncultured bacterium. RNAcentral's name for it is "partial 16S rRNA". It matches the Rfam family "Bacterial small subunit ribosomal RNA", at positions 355 to 511 of the family's 1533-position model. The record is from RNAcentral.
UAGGGAAUCUUCGGCAAUGGACGAAAGUCUGACCGUGCAACGCCGCGUGAGUGAAGAAGGUUUUCGGAUCGUAAAACUCUGUUGGUAGAGAAGAACGUUGGUGAGAGUGGAAAGCUCAUCAAGUGACGGUAACUACCCAGAAAGGGACGGCUAACUACGUGCCAC